Long non-coding RNA from Zingiber officinale, 513 nucleotides. RefSeq lists it as uncharacterized. NCBI's taxonomy places the organism in Eukaryota, Viridiplantae, Streptophyta, Magnoliopsida, Zingiberales, Zingiberaceae. The record is from RefSeq and is a predicted model, not a curated record. The transcript has 3 exons.
GACUUGUUCUUGUGGAUACUGACAGAGGCGUGAAUAUUUGAUCAUGCUAAGAUCCUAGCCGUUGGGAGUUCGUGUGUUAUGCAAUAAAGAGUCUCUGCCUAUCGUCUUCUCGUCCCAGGAUGGCUUCCGUUAAGGGCAUUCAACUACUGCUAGUCUUCCUCGUGCUAUUUGGCCAGCAAGCUCUUGGAAGCAGAGAGAAGAUGAACAUGAAUAGCCAUGGCAAAUUAGUCAGCAGUGAUCGACGAUCCUCUCCUCCACCAUCGCCGCGAGGAAAUCCAUCGCGAUAUCCUGAACCUAAACCUUUUCCUGCUCCUCCGCCACCCUGUUCUCCUUCUUAAUGUGGUAUUUCAGGCUUCAUGUUACCAGAUUGAGUGCAGGCCUAUCUAUCUAUCUAUCUAUCUAUAUAUAUAUAUAUAUAUACUCUGUGCAAUCUCAGUACUCUUCUCAUUGAGAGUUUGAUUAUUGUAUUUGAAAUAAGUGCAUUUCAGAAUAUAUUAACAAGGAAAAAUCUUC